RNAcentral lists this ribosomal RNA (249 nucleotides) under Salmonella enterica. RNAcentral's name for it is "partial 16S ribosomal RNA". It matches the Rfam family "Bacterial small subunit ribosomal RNA", at positions 1 to 246 of the family's 1533-position model. RNAcentral also lists the same sequence under 2 other names. Lineage: Bacteria; Pseudomonadati; Pseudomonadota; Gammaproteobacteria; Enterobacterales; Enterobacteriaceae. The record is from RNAcentral.
AAAUUGAAGAGUUUGAUCAUGGCUCAGAUUGAACGCUGGCGGCAGGCCUAACACAUGCAAGUCGAACGGUAACAGGAAGCAGUUUGCUGCUUCGCUGACGAGUGGCGGACGGGUGAGUAAUGUCUGGGAAACUGCCUGAUGGAGGGGGAUAACUACUGGAAACGGUGGCUAAUACCGCAUAACGUCGCAAGACCAAAGAGGGGGACCUUCGGGCCUCUUGCCAUCAGAUGUGCCCAGAUGGGAUUAGCU